Molecule: long non-coding RNA, 255 nt
Organism: Helianthus annuus (common sunflower)
Lineage: Eukaryota; Viridiplantae; Streptophyta; Magnoliopsida; Asterales; Asteraceae
Exons: 2
Source: RefSeq, a predicted model, not a curated record
AUCUCUUCCGCCCUCCCCUCUCUGUUGCAGGCUUGCAGCGACCAAGAAUUACUCAGACCAGGCUUCGAUAAGGUCCUCUGUUGCAGGCUUGCCGCGACCAACCGACCUUUCAUCUCGCCGUAGACAGAUUGCAGACCAGUCGGCAAGGCAAAUGGCAAUUAUAACCUAUAGGAAUUGUUGAUUUCAUUAAAAAAAGUGACUGUAUUCUCUGUUUCAUUAUUAAAUGAUAAAGCUGUGUUGCACUAUUGUUGAUUC